RNAcentral lists this ribosomal RNA (457 nucleotides) under uncultured bacterium. RNAcentral describes it as "bacterial SSU rRNA". It matches the Rfam family "Bacterial small subunit ribosomal RNA", at positions 340 to 786 of the family's 1533-position model. The record is from RNAcentral.
UACGGGAGGCAGCAGUGGGGAAUAUUGCACAAUGGGCGAAAGCCUGAUGCAGCUAUGCCGCGUGUAUGAAGAAGGCCUUAGGGUUGUAAAGUACUUUCAUCGGGGAGGAAAAACAAAACUAAUAAUUUUAUUUCUUGACGUUACCCGAAAAAGAAGCACCGGCUAACUCCGUGCCAGCAGCCGCGGUAAUACGGAGGGUGCUAGCGUUAAUCAGAAUUACUGGGCGUAAAGAGCACGUAGGUGGUUUUUUAAGUCAGAUGUGAAAUCCCUGGGCUUAACCUAGGAACUGCAUUUUGAAACUGAAAUACUAGAGUAUCGUAGAGGGAGGUAGAAUUCUAGGUGUAGCGGUGAAAAUGCGUAGAUAUCUGGAGGAAUACCUGUGGCGAAAGCGGCCUCCUAAACGAAUACUGACACUGAGGUGCGAAAAGCGUGGGGAGCAAAACAGGGAUUAGAUACC